Molecule: long non-coding RNA, 367 nt
Organism: Daphnia magna
Lineage: Eukaryota; Metazoa; Arthropoda; Branchiopoda; Diplostraca; Daphniidae
Exons: 2
Source: RefSeq, a predicted model, not a curated record
ACCCGUGCAUGUGAAACCGUCGCCUUCAUAACCGGGAUAGCAGGUACAGGUGAAACUGCCCAAGGUAUUGGUACAUUGGGCGAACACGUCACAAGGUCGAUACUUGCACUCGUUCUCGUCUAAAAAAGGAUACACAAGCGUCGAGCAGCCGCAGCCUCCAUAUCCAUCGUUACAAUGGCACUCGUGAUCGAGACAGGCGCCAUUUUGGCAGCGUGCACCUUCAGUUAAGACGCAGUCACCUACACAACAGAAGAAAAAAGAAAUUGUUGUCUUUACUGAUCUGUGAAUGAAUGAUACCAUGAGAUAUGAGUUGCAUUGAUAACAAGGUAGCCCUCAAAACCCAAAUAGAACAAGGAAUUGAAUUAUG